CGGAGAGGGCGCAUGAGAGACGGCGUUCACGGCUAAGGCUGGCAGCAGGAGCGAAAACUUUUCGAAUAGACAAUGUCUGAAAAGGUGACUAUCAGUAUCAGCAACUGCUACAUAGUAGUUGUCUGAAAUGGGAGACUUAUAGAUCUGGUCUCGAGUAGCAAGUUCAGGGCAAGUCUGGUGCCAGCAGCCGCGGUAAUACCAGCUGAGCUAGAAAUGGGUAACAUUGUUGCAGUAAAAACGUACGUAGUCACCUUUACUUAUGUGAGACCAGUGAAAACUGGUCACACUAAGAAACUUUUGGUGAAGCAAUUUAUCAAUUAACUCCGCGAGUAAAUUAGACUGAUUAAAUUAAUUGUUGUAUAAGACAGCGUGGGAAAUCUGGAGAUGCCUGUUAGUCUUUAGCGCUUAUCUUAGACGCAGGGAUAUAUUGUAGAAUUGAAUGAGGGUGUUAGUAUUUAACGGUCAGAGGUGAAAUUCCUAGAUUCGUUAACGACUUACCACUGCGAAAGCAUUCGCCUAAUUCACUUUUGGUGAUCAAGUACUAAAGAGUGGGGAUCGAAGAGGAUUAGAUACCCUCGUAGUCCACUCCCUAAACUAUGUCGACUAGUGGUUGGCGUGUUGUUCAUGAACCUCGUCAGAACCUUGGCAGAUAUGUAAGUCUUUGGACUCUGGGGGAAGUACGGUCGCAAGGGCGAAACUUAAAGGAAUUGACGGAAUGGCACCACCAGGGGUGGAACGUGCGGCUUAAUUUGACUCAACGCGGGAAACCUUACUAGGGUAAGACAUUGGUAUGAUUGACAGACUGCUUGAUCUUUCUUGAUUUGAUGGGUGGUGGUGCAUGGCCGAUCUUAGUUAGUGGGGUGACCCGUCUGGUUAAUUUCGAUAACGAACGAGAUCCGAGCUGUUUAGUUGGGUUGCACCGGUGUCAUUGCGGUGUUAAUUCUCCUAUACGGACUGUCAGUUUCAGGCUGAAGGAAGUUUCGGGCCAAAUCAGGUCUGUGACGCCCUUAGACGCCCUAGGCGGCACGCGCGUUACAAUGGAGAGUAGAACGUGUAUUCUCUGCUGAAAUGUUGGGUGAAUCAUGAAUAUUACUCCGUGAGUGGGAUAGUCUAUUGCAACUUUCGGACUUGAACUAGGAAUCCCUUGUAGUCGUGCUCGAGAAUAGCACGUUGAAUACGUCCCUGCCAUUUGUACACACCGCCCGUCGUUUCUUCCGACUGAUACUCAUUGUGAAUUACAAGGAUACGAUAUAGCAGAAUUGUUGUUAACACUUUGUAUUGGAGGAAGAAAAAGUCGUAACAAGGUAACC
RNAcentral lists this ribosomal RNA (1310 nucleotides) under uncultured eukaryote. Its description in RNAcentral is "bacterial SSU rRNA". It matches the Rfam family "Eukaryotic small subunit ribosomal RNA", at positions 384 to 1804 of the family's 1831-position model. The record is from RNAcentral.